UUACAAAAGGAAAAUGGAAAGGGAGAAGUCUCGCUGCCUGGCCCAAUGUCACAACCCCCUCACCCCAGACCAUGCCGCUUU
Ovis aries (sheep) is the source of this 81-nucleotide non-coding RNA. The record is from Rfam. Lineage: Eukaryota; Metazoa; Chordata; Mammalia; Artiodactyla; Bovidae.